RNAcentral lists this ribosomal RNA (497 nucleotides) under uncultured bacterium. RNAcentral's name for it is "partial 16S ribosomal RNA". It matches the Rfam family "Bacterial small subunit ribosomal RNA", at positions 28 to 507 of the family's 1533-position model. The record is from RNAcentral.
GAUGAACGCUGGCGGCGUGCCUAAUACAUGCAAGUCGAGCGAACAGACGAGGAGCUUGCUCCUCUGACGUUGGCGGCGGACGGGUGAGUAACACGUGGAUAACCUACCUAUAAGACUGGGAUAACUUCGGGAAACCGGAGCUAAUACCGGAUAAUAUAUUGAACCGCAUGGUUCAAUAGUGAAAGACGGUUUUGCUGUCACUUAUAGAUGGAUCCGCGCCGCAUUAGCUAGUUGGUAAGGUAACGGCUUACCAAGGCAACGAUGCGUAGCCGACCUGAGAGGGUGAUCGGCCACACUGGAACUGAGACACGGUCCAGACUCCUACGGGAGGCAGCAGUAGGGAAUCUUCCGCAAUGGGCGAAAGCCUGACGGAGCGACGCCGCGUGAGUGAUGAAGGUCUUCGGAUCGUAAAACUCUGUUAUUAGGGAAGAACAAAUGUGUAAGUAACUAUGCACGUCUUGACGGUACCUAAUCAGAAAGCCACGGCUAACUACGUG